RNAcentral lists this ribosomal RNA (284 nucleotides) under uncultured Desulfuromonas sp. Its description in RNAcentral is "partial 16S ribosomal RNA". It matches the Rfam family "Bacterial small subunit ribosomal RNA", at positions 1100 to 1382 of the family's 1533-position model. The record is from RNAcentral. Lineage: Bacteria; Pseudomonadati; Thermodesulfobacteriota; Desulfuromonadia; Desulfuromonadales; Desulfuromonadaceae.
AACCCUUGUCCUUAGUUGCCAGUCAUUCGAGUUGGGCACUCUAAGGAGACUGACCGGUGUUAAACCGGAGGAAGGUGGGGAUGACGUCAAGUCCUCAUGGCCCUUAUGUCCAGGGCUACACACGUGCUACAAUGGCCGGUACAAAGGGCUGCAAGACCGUGAGGUUGAGCGAAUCCCAGAAAGCCGGUCUCAGUUCGGAUUGGAGUCUGCAACUCGACUCCAUGAAGUUGGAAUCGCUAGUAAUCGCGGAUCAGCAUGCCGCGGUGAAUACGUUCCCGGGCCUU